Molecule: ribosomal RNA, 468 nt
Filed under: uncultured bacterium
Lineage: Bacteria
Description: partial 16S ribosomal RNA
Rfam family: Bacterial small subunit ribosomal RNA
Source: RNAcentral
GACGAACGCUGGCGGCGUGCUUAACACAUGCAAGUCGAACGGAAAGGCCCUGCUUUUGUGGGGUGCUCGAGUGGCGAACGGGUGAGUAACGCGUGAGUAACCUGCCCUUGACUUUGGGAUAACUUCAGGAAACUGGGGCUAAUACCGGAUAGGAGCUCCUGCUGCAUGGUGGGGGUUGGAAAGUUUCGGCGGUUGGGGAUGGACUCGCGGCUUAUCAGCUUGUUGGUGGGGUAGUGGCUUACCAAGGCUUUGACGGGUAGCCGGCCUGAGAGGGUGACCGGCCACGUUGGGACUGAGAUACGGCCCAGACUCCUACGGGAGGCAGCAGUGGGGAAUAUUGCACAAUGGGCGGAAGCCUGAUGCAGCAACGCCGCGUGCGGGAUGACGGCCUUCGGGUUGUAAACCGCUUUCGCCUGUGACGAAGCGUGAGUGACGGUAAUGGGUAAAGAAGCACCGGCUAACUACGUG